GCGGUUGUGGCGGAAUUGGCAGACGCGCUAGAUUCAGGGUCUAGUGGGCAUUGCGCUCGUGGGGGUUCAAGUCCCUUCAACCGCACCA
Molecule: transfer RNA, 88 nt
Filed under: Clostridiales bacterium
Lineage: Bacteria; Bacillati; Bacillota; Clostridia; Eubacteriales
Description: tRNA-Leu
Rfam family: tRNA
About the family: Transfer RNA (tRNA) molecules are approximately 80 nucleotides in length.
Source: RNAcentral